GUUUUCGGAUCGUAAAACUCUGUUGUUGGAGAAGAAUGUAUCUGAUAGUAACUGAUCAGGUAGUGACGGUAUCCAACCAGAAAGCCACGGCUAACUACGUGCCAGCAGCCGCGGUAAUACGUAGGUGGCAAGCGUUGUCCGGAUUUAUUGGGCGUAAAGCGAGCGCAGGCGGUUUCUUAAGUCUGAUGUGAAAGCCUUCGGCUCAACCGAAGAAGUGCAUCGGAAACUGGGAAACUUGAGUGCAGAAGAGGACAGUGGAACUCCAUGUGUAGCGGUGAAAUGCGUAGAUAUAUGGAAGAACACCAGUGGCGAAGGCGGCUGUCUGGUCUGUAACUGACGCUGAGGCUCGAAAGCAUGGGUAGCAAACAGGAUUAGAUACCCUGGUAGUCCAUGCCGUAAACGAUGAGUGCUAGGUGUUGGAGGGUUUCCGCCCUUCAGUGCCGCAGCUAACGCAUUAAGCACUCCGCCUGGGGAGUACGACCGCAAGGUUGAAACUCAAAGGAAUUGACGGGGGCCCGCACAAGCGGUGGAGCAUGUGGUUUAAUUCGAAGCAACGCGAAGAACCUUACCAGGUCUUGACAUCCUUUGACCACUCUAGAG
This 600-nucleotide ribosomal RNA is filed under the name Latilactobacillus sakei. RNAcentral's name for it is "bacterial SSU rRNA". It matches the Rfam family "Bacterial small subunit ribosomal RNA", at positions 414 to 1005 of the family's 1533-position model. The record is from RNAcentral. Lineage: Bacteria; Bacillati; Bacillota; Bacilli; Lactobacillales; Lactobacillaceae.